Long non-coding RNA from Paramisgurnus dabryanus, 555 nucleotides. RefSeq lists it as uncharacterized. The record is from RefSeq and is a predicted model, not a curated record. Lineage: Eukaryota; Metazoa; Chordata; Actinopteri; Cypriniformes; Cobitidae.
CAGAUAACCAUGGUUAAUAAAUGGUCAGUAGAUGACACGUCACUGGCUUUAAAAUAUAAACCCCAUUGAUGCAAAAAGAUGCUGCAUGGAAUGACAAUGAGGUUUGGAACAGACUUGGUGAAGAACAUGGAAACAUCUCUAAAUAAAAUGGCCCCAAACAUCAUCAGGAGUGCAAAAGAAGGAAGUAAAAAACAUCUCUACGCCAAUCUCAUUGGAACAGCAGAGGAAAGCACAGAAGAUAACUACAUCAUAUGCUUGUUCUUUGCCCCGUGUCUGGUGAGGAAUGCUGCACUUAUGUUAUUGCAAGCAUUAUUUCAAGAAAAUCCCAGCUUCCUUUACUGUGUAAAUAGUGAACCCAAAGGUCCCACACCAACCAUAGUGUUCAACGGCUCUCCUGAUCCUCUCAAAGCUGAAAGUAUCAACUUUAUAAUGGACAAUGUGAACAUAAUAUGUGGACGACAUUGACAUCUGUGGAAUGACUGUUUGCGUUUUUUUUUCUCCUCAAUGUUCAAUACCCUUUUGCUAUUAGGCACACAGUGACUUUAAUUUAUAAAA